Perca flavescens (yellow perch) is the source of this 1129-nucleotide long non-coding RNA. RefSeq lists it as uncharacterized. The record is from RefSeq and is a predicted model, not a curated record. Lineage: Eukaryota; Metazoa; Chordata; Actinopteri; Perciformes; Percidae. The transcript is spliced from 3 exons.
CACUCAUCCCAGACGGCAGCUAGCAGCUAGCAGCUAAGAGGGCUGGGAGAGCAGAUGAGCAGCCACAGCAGGAAGGGAAACAGAAAGAGACAAGAAGCCAGAGAAGCAGCGAGCUUUUCAGCGAUGGCGACAGCUGGGGGAAAAGAGUGACACCAUUGUGAUGGUUGCCGUCUUUCUGUUGGACAGGUAUGUUUUUGUUUUGUCUGUCAGAAAGGAUUGGUUGUAUUCAGGAAAUGUUAGAUGGAGCCCUUAAGAGUUGCUACUUUUAAAUCUUGCUAGCUUUUUCAACAUUACCAGCCCUGCCUUAAGUUGUACUUACAGGUUUGAGAGGUGGUCUGGACCUGAUGAACUCCAGGAUGACUUCAUGAGCGCUCUUCUUUAACCUGGGUGGAAUGUCUCCAUUUAUCUGAAACAACAGAACCGGAUAAAAGAAAAGUACACAACGACACAUAAAAAUGCCAAUGGCUUGAUGGAUUCCUUACUUCCCUUACCCUCGUGUAAAUCUAGCUCAUGAAUCCUGCUUGUUGCAGAAGGUUAUUUAGUAGUAUUUAGUGUGUGCAUGAUGUGGAAAAGUUGAAUAAUCUCAUACCACAUUACACACAAGAUCAUAAAGUCCAUUAAGGUGUAAAAUUACCUGUUGCUACACUACCAAAUCAAGGACCAUACACAGAGCUAUCAGCUAAUGCAAAUUAUUUAUUUUCAUUAUCAAUUAGUCAAUCCAUUAUAAUUCUUUUUGGAGUUAUUUGAUACAUUUUUUUGUCCAGUCCAAUGUCCAGCUCAUCUUCUCAGAGACCAAGGUGAUGUCUUUGAAUGUCUUGUUUUUGACCAACAGUCCAAAACCAAAAGAUGAAAAUUGACAAUGAUGGAGAAUAAAGCAGCAAAAUCUCUCCUUCUGUCAAGCUAGGCAUGGGCCGGUUACCAGUGUCAAGGUUUUAAAAAGUCACGGUUUUAACCCUAGUGUUGUCUUCCCGUCGACCAACAAGCAGCUUUUUUGUUUUUCUGGAUCAAAAUUUAAAAUUAAAACGUUUUGGUCGUCUUUUUUGACACUUCUGUUGCUUUCCCCCAAUGUUUUUGGCACUUUUUUUCUCACUUUUAUCCAAUUUCUUUGCACUUUUCCCAACGUUUUUGA